GAUAACAUUUUUAAUAAUGGACGCAAGAAAUAGCUGACCAGGAAACUUAAUUAAUCGUAAAGUAAGUAUUUCAUCCAUUCGAGACGAAGCUUUAACCCCAGGGCCAACGAGAAUCCAGAAGAAGCCAUGGGAAUAGUGCGGAGGAACCAAAA
Bemisia tabaci is the source of this 152-nucleotide non-coding RNA. NCBI's taxonomy places the organism in Eukaryota, Metazoa, Arthropoda, Insecta, Hemiptera, Aleyrodidae. The record is from RefSeq and is a predicted model, not a curated record.